GGAAAUAAGCCAUUCAGGGCUCAUCCGGAAUCCAGGAAGUGUUUGGAUAUUGGAAAAACAAAAACAAAAAAAAACCUUUGUUCUGUAAGACAGUAUAGAAAGUUGGGAGAAAGGUCUACUCCAGGAUCAAGGCCUCCUGAAAGGGUCUCGAGGACCCCAAUGGUUCCUGGACCACACUUUGAAAACUAUGGAUCUGAAAAUAAUUUAGGAUUGCAUUUUCCUGUAAUGCCGCGUCUUAGCAAUGUGACCUUGGGGUGCCAGGAACAACAGGGAGGAAGAGGCCAAGGUUUCAGAGCCUCAGGAAUGAGGAACAGCAGGAGGUGAGGGGGUCAGUGAGGAAUGGGAUGGGCUGGGCGUGGCCAAAUCAGGUAAGGCUUUGUAGGCCUAUGUAAUUGAGGAUAUAAGGAAAUGUUUAACUGGACCAACAGGACCCAAGGGAGAGUAUCAAAGGCAAAACAAAGGAAAAUGAGGACAACCCAAUACUCAGAAAAAAAAACGAGUAAUUCAUGGAUUCACAACGGGCAACAAACUAGAUGACUAUUAGGAAGAGAAGAGCAAACCUUAUGAUCUCAAAAUGAUUUCUUGUUCAUUUGCAUCCUCGCAUCAAUCUAGACUUUAAGAAAUAUGUGAUUUUUAAAUAAAUGGGUAUAUCUGCAU
Molecule: long non-coding RNA, 657 nt
Filed under: Homo sapiens (human)
Lineage: Eukaryota; Metazoa; Chordata; Mammalia; Primates; Hominidae
Description: long non-coding RNA NONHSAT173233.1
Source: RNAcentral